UUUUUUGAGAAUUUGAUCCUGGUUCAGGAUGAACGCUAGCGGUGCGCCUUAAGCAUGCAAAUCGAGCGGUCCCGACCUUGUGUCGGGACAGCGGUGGACGGGUGAGUAACACGUAGGAAUCUACCCUUUGGUGGGGAAUAACCCUCCGAAAGGAGGGGUAAUACCGCAUAACUCUGCAAAGAAAAAGGGCUUAACUGCCCGCCGAAGGAUGAGCCUGCGCCCUAUCAGCUUGUUGGUGAGGUAAUGGCUUACCAAGGCUUUGACGGGUAGCUGGACUGAGAGGUUGGUCAGCCACAAUGCUACUGAGAUACGGAGCAUACAUCUACGGAUGGCAGCAACUGGGAAUCAUGCGCAAUGGGCGAAAGCCUGACGCUGCGACACCGCGUGGAGGAUGAAGGUUUUCGGAUCGUAAACUCCUUUUUUCUAACUAUCGUGGUUAGAAGAAUAAACACCUGCAAACUACGUGCCAGAAGCCUCGGUAAUACGUAGGGUGUAAGCGUUAUCCGGAUUUAUUGGGCGUAAAGAGUUUCGUAGGCGUUUGAUUAAGUUUUUGGUUAAAGCCCAAAGCUUAACUUUGGAAAAGCCAAAAAAACUAAUUAAAUAGAGAGUCUUAGGGGAUGCUGGAACACUCAGUGUAGGGGUGAAAUCCGUUGAUAUUGAGUGGAAUACCAAGGGCGAAGGCGAGCAUCUGGGGGACUUCUGACGCUGAUGAACGAAAGCUAGGGGAGCAAAGCAGAUUAGAGACCUGCGUAGUCCUAGCCGUAAACAAUCCUCGCUAGAUUUCUUCAACAUUCGUUGAGGGAGUCGCAAGUUAACACGUUAAGCGAGGCGCCUGGGGAGUACGGCCGCAAGGCUAAAACUCAAAGGAAUUGACGGGGACCCGCACAACCAGUGGAGCAUGUGGUUUAAUUCGAUACGAAGCGAAAAACCUUACCUGGGCUUGAAAUCCAAGCGUUCUAUUUCCGGGAAACCGGAGAAAUCCGUAAGGAGGCUUGGACAGCUGCUGCAUGGCUAUUUUUGACGAUGGCCCUUCGAGAGGUAACUUUCGAAGCAAAACCGGCUCAUAACGGUGAAACCCUCAUUGAUUUCGGGUAAUCUUCGGAUUACAAUGAAACAAAAGGAUAAUACCGUGGGAAGCAAAGUCUAUUUAAAAUCAGCCGAAGACUUUUAUAUUUUAGGUCUUUGGUUGGCAGAUGGGUAUUGGUGGUCAAGUUCCUUCGGUCUUUCGUCUACUGAUAAAAAGCUAAUUAAUAGAUUCGGUUGCUAUCUGAAGAAGAUUGCUCCGGAUCAUCCCUUAAAAAGAAGGAUUUACAAAAUUGGCAAAAAUCAGAAACGAAAGAAAGAAGCAGAGCAUCUUUAUAUCAACAACAGGGCAAUCACUAGAUUUUUUCUACUUUAUAAAAAGAAGAAAAAUUUUUCUGUUCCAUCACGUUUCCUUCUAGCUUAUUUAGCAGGGAGGAUUGACGGAGAUGGAAGUAUUGAUCGAAAAUAUCGGUCAGGAAUUAGGAUUGCCUAUGGUGACAAAAAAGAUGCUGAACAUGAUGUUUUACUUUUCGGUAAGCAAAAUGUUAGCUUAUAUUUUUAUAAGUCUGCUGGAACUUGGGUGAUUUAUUUAAGAAAGAAAUUUCGCGAAAAAAUCAUCAGUAAAAUUGCCAAAUAUUCAAUAAAACUUUGCCCCGUAGAGACUUUUUCCAAAUAGGAAAGGAUAGAAGUAAAUGAACUUCUAUAAAACGCCGGUCUCCCAUAAAAAUGGGAUGAUGGUAUAGUCCGAUCCUCUAAGAGAUUAGAGUAAUUAUAAAAACUUUAACGGCACAAAAGAGGUCGUCAGCUCGUGCCGUGAGGUGUAUUCUUAAGUGAAACAACGAGCGCAACCCCUAUUUUAUGUUAAAUAUUCAUAAAAGACUGCCUGUUUUUUAAACAGGAGGAAGGAAGGGAUGACGUCAAGUCAGCACGGCGCUUAUGUCCAGGGCAACACACAUCCUACAAUGGCGAAAAACAAUGGGCAGCCAAGCCGUAAGGUGGAGCUAAUCCCUGAAAUUUCGCCUCAGUUCAGAUUGUGGGCUGAAAUUCGCCCACAUGAAGUUGGAAUUGGUAGUAAUCGCGGAUCAGCAGGCCGCGGUGAAUACGUU
This 2129-nucleotide ribosomal RNA is filed under the name Candidatus Woesebacteria bacterium CG_4_10_14_0_2_um_filter_39_14. Its description in RNAcentral is "bacterial SSU rRNA". The stretch from base 1 to 1247 matches the Rfam family "Bacterial small subunit ribosomal RNA". The record is from RNAcentral. Lineage: Bacteria; Candidatus Woeseibacteriota.